GUCCCGAACCCAAAUUCACCCGUUUACUAGUCAUUUGGACGGUAAACGACCUUUACUUUCACUUUUACUUUCGGUUUAGUACUUUUAGUGGCCCUAAAAAUUGACUUUUUGUUCGGGUCAAAAUUUGAGAAAAUGUUCUUCAUGAAAGUUGUAGGGGACGUUAAACCGAGCGCGUACAUAUGUGGUACGUAAAAAUCGGAGCUCGUAUGCAAAAGUUAUAAGCGAAAAUGUGAAAGUUACUGUUCACGGUAAGUAGUAUAUAUUUGAAUUUUUCACUGUGGCCGGUAAGUUUUCAUUUUCUUCUUCUCUCUCUCCUUUCUCCCGCAUUUUUUCUCUCUCCUCGGCACUCUCUGCAACUCCGGCCACCUCACGAUUCCGGCCACCUGGGGACGAACGAGUGGCACCGUUGGACUCCUCUACUCCUACCCAACCUCCCCACGGCGGUAACUCACGGCGGCUUGGCCGGAAAACGAAGCAUCGGGUCCUUGAAGUUUCACUGUAGCAAAUUGGUCAACGCCGGUUUCUCCCGAUUCCGGCCACCUCCGGCGACGAACCAUAAUCAUUUGGAAGCGCCUUGCGAUGUAGAUGAUGCUCCCCAAAUAUUUUGCAGCGAUUUGAAGCGUGGAGGAAGAAUUGAAGGGCAAUGUUGCGAGCUACGGCUAGAUGAAGGGACUCGUUUGCGUGGUCGCCAACUAGUACUUUUGCAGGCGCUAUUAGUUGAGGUCGGGCAUACAUGGUUCGAGGCAUAGUUGAUGAAUAGCUUCCGCACUUCUUUGUUUGGCUCUGAUCUAUCGUAGCUUACUGUUUUGGGUAGUCCAUUUUAGGGGUGACUCGACCAGUUCUCGGUAGGGUUAUCUCUAAGGUGGGCCCCGCAGGGCCACCUCGGAUUUCAGGAUGAAAUUCGGGGCGGGUCCUGUCAACUUGGUAUCAGAGCAUUAGGUUGUUAGGUUCUGUAGACUCGUUUCUAUUCUGUUACCUUAUAUGCUUGGUGUUGCCCAGUACCUCUCGAGUGAUGGCCCGACUGCAGCGGUUCCCCAUCGUGUACUCUUCGGUGCUGUGGUAUUCAUCAAGUGUGUAAGGUACAAAGCUAGUUGGUUUUCUUCUGGUGCUAUGCCUCUUGUACGCCGACCUCCUAGGGUUUUCUUUGCGUAUUCGAUUGGUUAACUGUUUUGUGCCUAUCCCUGGUGAUGGUGGAGUAAAACUACUCUAUAGUUUCGAGUUGUGUUGCGAAAUGUGAUUCGAGGAA
Molecule: long non-coding RNA, 1246 nt
Organism: Rosa rugosa (rugosa rose)
Lineage: Eukaryota; Viridiplantae; Streptophyta; Magnoliopsida; Rosales; Rosaceae
Exons: 3
Source: RefSeq, a predicted model, not a curated record